RNAcentral lists this ribosomal RNA (253 nucleotides) under uncultured bacterium. RNAcentral's name for it is "partial 16S ribosomal RNA". It matches the Rfam family "Bacterial small subunit ribosomal RNA", at positions 524 to 776 of the family's 1533-position model. The record is from RNAcentral.
UACGAAGGGUGCAAGCGUUACUCGGAAUUACUGGGCGUAAAGCGUGCGUAGGCGGUUUGUUAAGUCCGUUGUGAAAGCCCUGGGCUCAACCUGGGAAUUGCAGUGGAUACUGGCGAGCUAGAGUGCGGUAGAGGAUGGUGGAAUUCCCGGUGUAGCGGUGAAAUGCGUAGAGAUCGGGAGGAACACACGUGGCGAAGGCGGCCAUCUGGACCAGCACUGACGCUGAGGCACGCGAGCGUGGGGAGAAAACAGG